Molecule: ribosomal RNA, 253 nt
Filed under: uncultured bacterium
Lineage: Bacteria
Description: partial 16S ribosomal RNA
Rfam family: Bacterial small subunit ribosomal RNA
Source: RNAcentral
UACGUAGGGACCAAGCGUUGUCCGGAAUCAUUGGGCGUAAAGAGCGUGUAGGCGGCUUGUUAAGUCUUGCGUGAAAUCUCGGGGCUCAACCCCGAGCGGUCGUGAGAAACUGGCAGGCUAGAGUGCGGGAGAGGAGAGUGGAAUUCCAGGUGUAGCGGUGAAAUGCGUAGAUAUCUGGAGGAACACCGGUGGCGAAGGCGGCAUCCUGGACCGGUAUUGACGCUGAGGCGCGAAAGCCAGGGGAGCAAACGGG